GAGCGAACGGGGAUCAGCCCAUUAAGUUAUGUGUGUUUUAGUGGAACGCUCUGGGAAGUGCGAACGUAGAGGGUGAUAUUCCCGUACACGAAAGGGCACACAUAAUGAUGACGAGUAGGGCGAGGCACGUGAAACCUUGUCUGAAUAUGGGGGGACCAUCCUCCAAGGCUAAAUACUCCUGACUGACCGAUAGUGAACCAGUACCGUGAGGGAAAGGCGAAAAGAACCCCUGUGAGGGGAGUGAAAUAGAUCCUGAAACCGCAUGCAUACAAGCAGUGGGAGCACCUUCGUGGUGUGACUGCGUACCUUUUGUAUAAUGGGUCAGCGACUUAUAUUCAGUAGCGAGGUUAACCGUAUAGGGGAGCCGUAGAGAAAUCGAGUCUUAAUAGGGCGUUUAGUUGCUGGGUAUAGACCCGAAACCAGGCGAUCUAUCCAUGAGCAGGUUGAAGGUUGGGUAACACUAACUGGAGGACCGAACCCACUGUCGUUGAAAAGCCAGGGGAUGACUUGUGGAUAGGGGUGAAAGGCUAAUCAAGCCUGGUGAUAGCUGGUUCUCCCCGAAAGCUAUUUAGGUAGCGCCUCGGACGAAUACCAUAGGGGGUAGAGCACUGUUUCGGCUAGGGGGUCAUCCCGACUUACCAAACCGAUGCAAACUCCGAAUACCUAUGAGUACUAUCCGG
This 680-nucleotide ribosomal RNA is filed under the name Acinetobacter baumannii. RNAcentral's name for it is "partial 23S ribosomal RNA". It matches the Rfam family "Bacterial large subunit ribosomal RNA", at positions 286 to 980 of the family's 2925-position model. Lineage: Bacteria; Pseudomonadati; Pseudomonadota; Gammaproteobacteria; Moraxellales; Moraxellaceae. The record is from RNAcentral.